AUUGAACGCUGGCGGCAGGCUUAACACAUGCAAGUCGAGCGGGGGAAGGUAGCUUGCUACCGGACCUAGCGGCGGACGGGUGAGUAAUGCUUAGGAAUCUGCCUAUUAGUGGGGGACAACAUCUCGAAAGGGAUGCUAAUACCGCAUACGUCCUACGGGAGAAAGCAGGGGAUCUUCGGACCUUGCGCUAAUAGAUGAGCCUAAGUCGGAUUUGCUAGUUGGUGGGGUAAAGGCCUACCAAGGCGACGAUCUGUAGCGGGUCUGAGAGGAUGAUCCGCCACACUGGGACUGAGACACGGCCCAGACUCCUACGGGAGGCAGCAGUGGGGAAUAUUGGACAAUGGGGGGAACCCUGAUCCAGCCAUGCCGCGUGUGUGAAGAAGGCCUUAUGGUUGCAAAGCACUUUAAGCGAGGAGGAGGCUACUUUAGUUAAUACCUAGAGAUAGUGGACGUUACUCGCAGAAUAAGCACCGGCUAACUCUGUGCCAGCAGCCGCAGUAA
This 501-nucleotide ribosomal RNA is filed under the name uncultured bacterium. RNAcentral describes it as "partial 16S ribosomal RNA". It matches the Rfam family "Bacterial small subunit ribosomal RNA", at positions 30 to 523 of the family's 1533-position model. The record is from RNAcentral.